UAUCCAUAUUAUAUUGCAUAAAUCACUCAUGCAUUCACAUUUUAGGCUUCUAAAGUCAAUUAGAAAUUCUUACAAAAUUCUUUCUAACUCGUAGGGACUCGAUUAAAGAAGAUCUCAAUUAUGAUGCUCAAUUUGACAGAGAAAGAUUGAAUAUGAGUAUCAAACACGAGUGUUAAUAAGGAAAAAUGAGUCAUAGAACAGAGAAACUAGCUCAAUUUCGUUUACGGAUAUGUUCCACCAGGCACGAUUCCAUUCAUUACUUUUUAGCUGCUCUGUUGUAUCAAGGUUCAUUAAACAACAACAAGGUGGAUUUAAGGACGAAUCUUUUUGAAGAAGGGGGGGAUGACAUGACUGUGUGAAGGCCUUCAAGAUAUCUCGCAAACGGUAAUCAAAGUUUGCACCAACCUGAAGAUAAAACUCGAAAGAAGCCCCAACCAAGAAAGCAGAGCCAAAACCCAAAAGUAAAGCCCGGUCCAUCAAGAC
This 483-nucleotide long non-coding RNA is filed under the name Carica papaya (papaya). RNAcentral describes it as "long non-coding RNA (CPAP_LNC012942)". The record is from RNAcentral. Lineage: Eukaryota; Viridiplantae; Streptophyta; Magnoliopsida; Brassicales; Caricaceae.